This 498-nucleotide ribosomal RNA is filed under the name uncultured bacterium. RNAcentral's name for it is "partial 16S ribosomal RNA". It matches the Rfam family "Bacterial small subunit ribosomal RNA", at positions 29 to 523 of the family's 1533-position model. The record is from RNAcentral.
AUUGAACGCUGGCGGCAUGCCUUACACAUGCAAGUCGAACGGUAACGCGGGGCAACCUGGCGACGAGUGGCGAACGGGUGAGUAAUGCAUCGGAACGUGCCCAGUAGUGGGGGAUAGCCCGGCGAAAGCCGGAUUAAUACCGCAUACGACCUACGGGUGAAAGGGGGGGAUCGCAAGACCUCUCGCUAUUGGAGCGGCCGAUGUCAGAUUAGGUAGUUGGUGGGGUAAAGGCCCACCAAGCCUUCGAUCUGUAGCUGGUCUGAGAGGACGACCCGCCACACUGGGACUGAUACACGGCCCAGACUCCUACGGGAGGCAGCAGUGGGGAAUUUUGGACAAUGGGCGCAAGCCUGAUCCAGCCAUGCCGCGUGCGGGAAGAAGGCCUUCGGGUUGUAAACCGCUUUUGUCAGGGAAGAAACGCUCUGGGCUAAUACCUCGGGGUAAUGACGGUACCUGAAGAAUAAGCACCGGCUAACUACGUGCCAGCCGCCGCCGUAA